Molecule: small nucleolar RNA, 77 nt
Organism: Manis pentadactyla (Chinese pangolin)
Lineage: Eukaryota; Metazoa; Chordata; Mammalia; Pholidota; Manidae
Product: small nucleolar RNA SNORD74
Exons: 1
Source: RefSeq, a predicted model, not a curated record
UUGCCUUGCCUCUGAUGAAGCUGUGUUGGUAGGGACAUCUGAGACUUGAUGAAUGCCAACGGCUCUGAGGGCGGCGC